Molecule: ribosomal RNA, 428 nt
Filed under: uncultured prokaryote
Description: bacterial SSU rRNA
Rfam family: Bacterial small subunit ribosomal RNA
Source: RNAcentral
UGAGGAAUCUUCCGCAAUGGGCGAAAGCCUGACGGAGCAACGCCGCGUGAAUGAAGAAGGCCUUCGGGUCGUAAAGUUCUGUCUUUUGGGAAGAAGUCUCUUUGGGUAAAUAAUCCAUAGAGGUGACGGUACCAGAGGAGGAAGCUCCGGCUAACUACGUGCCAGCAGCCGCGGUAAUACGUAGGGAGCAAGCGUUGUCCGGAAUUACUGGGCGUAAAGGGCGCGUAGGCGGGUAAUUAAGUCAGAUGUGAAAGCUCCGGGCUCAACUUGGAGAGUGCAUUUGAAACUGGUGAUCUUGAGGGCAGGAGAGGAAAGUGGAAUUCCUAGUGUAGCGGUGGAAUGCGUAGAUAUUAGGAGGAACACCAGUGGCGAAGGCGACUUUCUGGACUGUACCUGACGCUGAGGCGCGAAAGCAUGGGGAGCGAACA